RNAcentral lists this ribosomal RNA (253 nucleotides) under uncultured bacterium. RNAcentral describes it as "partial 16S ribosomal RNA". It matches the Rfam family "Bacterial small subunit ribosomal RNA", at positions 524 to 776 of the family's 1533-position model. The record is from RNAcentral.
UACAGAGGUCUCAAGCGUUGUUCGGAUUCAUUGGGCGUAAAGGGCGCGUAGGCGGCGCGGUAAGUCGGGUGUGAAAUCUAUGGGCUCAACCCAUAGCCUGCAUUAGAAACUGUCGGGCUUGAGUAUGGGAGAGGUGAGUGGAAUUUCCGGUGUAGCGGUGAAAUGCGUAGAUAUCGGAAGGAACACCUGUGGCGAAAGCGGCUCACUGGACCAUUACUGACGCUGAUGCACGAAAGCUAGGGGAGCAAACAGG